RNAcentral lists this transfer RNA (74 nucleotides) under Storeatula sp. CCMP1868. Its description in RNAcentral is "tRNA-Cys". It matches the Rfam family "tRNA". Rfam says of the family: Transfer RNA (tRNA) molecules are approximately 80 nucleotides in length. Their secondary structure includes four short double-helical elements and three loops (D, anti-codon, and T loops). Further hydrogen bonds mediate the characteristic L-shaped molecular structure. tRNAs have two regions of fundamental functional importance: the anti-codon, which is responsible for specific mRNA codon recognition, and the 3' end, to which the tRNAs corresponding amino acid is attached (by aminoacyl-tRNA synthetases). tRNAs cope with the degeneracy of the genetic code in two manners: having more than one tRNA (with a specific anti-codon) for a particular amino acid; and 'wobble' base-pairing, i.e. permitting non-standard base-pairing at the 3rd anti-codon position. The record is from RNAcentral. Lineage: Eukaryota; Cryptophyceae; Pyrenomonadales; Pyrenomonadaceae.
GGCUAGAUAACAUAACCAGGUUAAUGUAUUAGAUUGCAAAUCUUUAAAUAGUGGUUCGAAUCCACUUCUAGCUU